UACCAGCACCCCGAGUGGUCGGGACGAUUAUUGGGCCUAAAGCAUCCGUAGCCGGUACUGCAAGUCUUCCGUUAAAUCCACCUGCUCAACAGUUGGGCUGCGGAGGAUACUACAGCGCUAGGAGGCGGGAGAGGCAAGCGGUACUCAGUGGGUAGGGGUAAAAUCCAUUGAUCCAUUGAAGACCACCAGUGGCGAAGGCGGCUUGCCAGAACGCGCUCGACGGUGAGGGAUGAAAGCUGGGGGAGCAAACCGG
RNAcentral lists this ribosomal RNA (253 nucleotides) under uncultured bacterium. Its description in RNAcentral is "partial 16S ribosomal RNA". It matches the Rfam family "Archaeal small subunit ribosomal RNA", at positions 474 to 727 of the family's 1478-position model. The record is from RNAcentral.